Molecule: ribosomal RNA, 427 nt
Filed under: uncultured bacterium
Lineage: Bacteria
Description: partial 16S ribosomal RNA
Rfam family: Bacterial small subunit ribosomal RNA
Source: RNAcentral
GUGGGGAAUAUUGGGCAAUGGGCGAAAGCCUGACCCAGCAACGCCGCGUGAGGGAAGAAGGUUUUCGGAUCGUAAACCUCUGUCCUUAGUGAAGAGAAAGAGACGGUAGCUAAGGAGGAAGCCCCGGCUAACUACGUGCCAGCAGCCGCGGUAAUACGUAGGGGGCGAGCGUUGUCCGGAAUGAUUGGGCGUAAAGGGCGCGUAGGCGGCCUGUUAAGUCCGGAGUGAAAUUCCUGCUUUCAAGGUAGGAAGUGCUUUGGAAACUGGCGGGCUGGAGUGCAGGAGAGGUUAGCGGAAUUCCCGGUGUAGCGGUGAAAUGCGUAGAGAUCGGGAGGAACACCAGUGGCGAAGGCGGCUAACUGGACUGUAACUGACGCUGAGGCGCGAAAGUGUGGGGAGCAAACAGGAUUAGAAACCCGAGUAGUCC